This 373-nucleotide ribosomal RNA is filed under the name uncultured organism. RNAcentral describes it as "bacterial SSU rRNA". It matches the Rfam family "Bacterial small subunit ribosomal RNA", at positions 526 to 896 of the family's 1533-position model. The record is from RNAcentral.
CGUAGGGCGCAAGCGUUGUCCGGAAUUAUUGGGCGUAAAGAGCUCGUAGGCGGCCUGUCACGUCGGGUGUUAAAGCCCGGGGCUUAACCCCGGGUCUGCAUUCGAUACGGGCUAGCUAGAGUGUGGUAGGGGAGAUCGGAAUUCCUGGUGUAGCGGUGAAAUGCGCAGAUAUCAGGAGGAACACCGGUGGCGAAGGCGGAUCUCUGGGCCAUUACUGACGCUGAGGAGCGAAAGCGUGGGGAGCGAACAGGAUUAGAUACCCUGGUAGUCCACGCCGUAAACGGUGGGAACUAGGUGUUGGCGACAUUCCACGUCGUCGGUGCCGCAGCUAACGCAUUAAAUUCCCCGCCUGGGGAGUACGGCCGCAAGGCUA